RNAcentral lists this ribosomal RNA (17 nucleotides) under Ganoderma tornatum. Its description in RNAcentral is "partial 28S ribosomal RNA". The record is from RNAcentral. Lineage: Eukaryota; Fungi; Basidiomycota; Agaricomycetes; Polyporales; Polyporaceae.
GACCUCAAAUCAGUAGA